AGCUGGUACCUGGGAUCGGGCAGGACGGUCCUCUUGCUGGCGCGGGCGGCCGGAGUCGCCUUGCUCUUCUCCAUGGCCAUCAGGUAAUGAUGAAGCCCCUGCUCUGGUCCAAGCUACCUGUGAACAGCGCCCAGCGGGCCGGGCCCCCAACCUCGCUCCUGAACGUACCCGCAAGCCCGCCGUGAGAAUUCAGCGAAGAGUAAAGGCUGGAGAAAGUUGCGUGUCUCAGGCUAAGCAGAGCAAAGUGGGGUGAGGGCUUCGCCGCUAGGAACAGAGAUGCCCUUAGGGAGCCCCCUGAUGGAAGAGCUCUCUGCUUAAGAAGGUCAGCACGCCCUUACACUCAGUUUUACCACGUUUUUCAAGAUCCAAGGCACAAUAGGCAUAAAGUUAUCCUGAAAAGGACAAGAGGAGUGUCAGAAGUAGGAAUGGCAGUCGAAGGAGCUUCGUCUGGCAGCAGAAAGCCAAAAUGACAGGAAAAGUGGAAAUGAGGCCUUUUACCCCAGGGUUGUUGAGAAGACAGGGGAGAAAAAGCACAUAAAAAUGCACCUUGUCGGGCGCAGUGGCUCACACCUGUAAUCCUGCACUUUGGGAGUCUGAGGCAGGUGGAUCGCUUGAGGCCAGGAGUUCAAGACCAGCCUGGCCAACAUGAAAAAUACAUUAAAAAUAAUGUCUCUAUUAAAAAUACAAAAAUUAGCCAGGCAUGGUGGUGCACGCCUGUAACCCAGCUACUCAGGAGGCUGAGGCACAAGAAUCGCUUGAACCCAGGAAGUAGAAGCUACAGUGAGUCGAGAUUGCACCACUGCACGCCAGCCUGGGUGAAAGAGUGAGACCCUGUCUGAAAAAAAAAAAAAAAAAAAAGCAUUUUGCCUGGCACCCAGUAGAUCCUCAAUAAAGGUCAUGUCACUUCCUCUGUUUAUUUUGCUUCAUUUUACCCUGGCAUGCUAGAGAAGAUGCUGAA
RNAcentral lists this long non-coding RNA (958 nucleotides) under Homo sapiens (human). RNAcentral's name for it is "non-protein coding lnc-LRP5L-1:8". The record is from RNAcentral. Lineage: Eukaryota; Metazoa; Chordata; Mammalia; Primates; Hominidae.